Molecule: long non-coding RNA, 239 nt
Filed under: Spirodela polyrhiza (greater duckweed)
Lineage: Eukaryota; Viridiplantae; Streptophyta; Magnoliopsida; Alismatales; Araceae
Description: long non-coding RNA (SPOL_LNC000333)
Source: RNAcentral
CGGCGGCGACCGAUCAUGUAUGGGCGGCGGAGUGCACUUAGUGCAAAGUAUGUCGCGGAACUGACUUGAUACAGGCAGAGCGCUCCAGUGGAGCUCGGCAGAGAAGAGAGUGGCUUCUCUGGAAGCCAAUGGUGCCAAGUAUUAUGUCAAAGGGCGCACAUGGCCCGAAGGGCUAUGGACACCGAGUCGAUCAGGCUGUGACUGAUCAAACAGACGAUAGAGGAAGUCCGCUGGUGGAG